CCUACGGGUGGCUGCAGUAAGGAAUAUUGGUCAAUGGACGAAAGUCUGAACCAGCCAUCCCGCGUGCAGGAUGAAAGCCCUAUGGGUUGUAAACUGCUUUUAGCAGAGAAGAAAAGCUUUCAUUAAUGAGAGUCUGACGGUAUCUGCAGAAUAAGCACCGGCUAACUCCGUGCCAGCAGCCGCGGUAAUACGGAGGGUGCGGGCGUUAUCCGGAAUUACGGGGUUGAAAGGGUGCGAUGACGGAGUAGUUGAAAACUUGUCGCUUAACGAUAGAAUUGCCAAUGAUACUGGUACUCUUGAAUUGGGUUGAGGUUAGCGGAAUGUGACAUGUAGCGGUGAAAUGCAUAGAUAUGUCAUGGAACACCAAUUGCGAAGGCAGCUAACUGGGCCUUGAUUGACGCUGAGGCACGAAAGCGUGGGUAGCGAACAGGAUUAGAUACCCGAGUAGUC
This 450-nucleotide ribosomal RNA is filed under the name uncultured bacterium. Its description in RNAcentral is "partial 16S ribosomal RNA". It matches the Rfam family "Bacterial small subunit ribosomal RNA", at positions 338 to 795 of the family's 1533-position model. The record is from RNAcentral.